RNA transcript from Enhydra lutris kenyoni (northern sea otter), 669 nucleotides. It is a transcript of the gene named ATP synthase F(0) complex subunit C2, mitochondrial pseudogene, with no coding region annotated. Lineage: Eukaryota; Metazoa; Chordata; Mammalia; Carnivora; Mustelidae. The transcript has a single exon. The record is from RefSeq and is a predicted model, not a curated record.
GACACUCCCCCCGCCCUCUCUGUCUCCUCGGCCCUGGGAGCAGCUCUCCUGCCGCAGCCCCUCAUUCCCUGAAAAUGUACACCUGUGCAAAGUUCGUCUCCACCCCGUUCUUGGUCAGGAGCACCUCUCAGCUUUUGAGCCGAUCACUGUCUGCAGUGGUGCUAAAACCACCCGAGACACUGACAGAUGAGGCACCUUAUAAGGGCUUCAGCAUCUUGGCAGCCCCACGUCCCCUGACCUCACUUAUUCCUAGCCGAAGCUUCCAAACCAGUGCCAUUUCAAGGGACAUCGAUACAGCAGCCAAGUUCAUUGGGGCUGGGGCUGCCACAGUAGGGGUGGCUGGCUCUGGGGCUGGAAUUGGGACUGUGUUUGGGAGCCUCAUCAUUGGUUAUGCCAGGAAUCCCUCUCUGAAGCAACAGCUCUUCUCCUACGCCAUUCUGGGCUUUGCCCUCUCGGAGGCCAUGGGGCUCUUUUGCCUGAUGGUGGCCUUUCUCAUCCUCUUCGCCAUGUGAAGGAGCCGUCUCCACCUCCCAUAGGUCUUUCUCUCGUGUCUCGUCUGCCCUGUAUAAUCCUUUUCCUAUACCUCCCCAGGCAGCCUGGGGAAAGUGGUUGGCUCAGGGUUUGACAGAGGGAAGACAAAUAAAUACUGUAUUAAUAAGAAAAAAAAAA